AUUGAACGCUGGCGGCAUGCCUUACACAUGCAAGUCGAACGGCAGCAUGAUCUAGCUUGCUAGAUUGAUGGCGAGUGUCGAACGGGUGAGUAAUACAUCGGAACGUGCCCUGUAGUGGGGGAUAACUAGUCGAAAGAUUAGCUAAUACCGCAUACGACCUGAGGGUGAAAGUGGGGGACCGCAAGGCCUCAUGCUAUAUGAGCGGCCGAUGUCUGAUUAGCUAGUUGGUGAGGUAAAGGCUCACCAAGGCGACGAUCAGUAGCUGGUCUGAGAGGACGAUCAGCCACACUGGGACUGAGACACGGCCCAGACUCCUACGGGAGGCAGCAGUGGGGAAUUUUGGACAAUGGGCGAAAGCCUGAUCCAGCAAUGCCGCGUGUGUGAAGAAGGCCUUCGGGUUGUAAAGCACUUUUGUCCGGAAAGAAAUGGAUCUGGUUAAUACCUGGGGUCGAUGACGGUACCGGAAGAAUAAGGACCGGCUAACUACGUG
RNAcentral lists this ribosomal RNA (490 nucleotides) under uncultured bacterium. Its description in RNAcentral is "partial 16S ribosomal RNA". It matches the Rfam family "Bacterial small subunit ribosomal RNA", at positions 30 to 507 of the family's 1533-position model. The record is from RNAcentral.